This 1291-nucleotide long non-coding RNA is filed under the name Callithrix jacchus (white-tufted-ear marmoset). RNAcentral's name for it is "lncRNA (ENSCJAG00000075999.1)". Lineage: Eukaryota; Metazoa; Chordata; Mammalia; Primates; Cebidae. The record is from RNAcentral.
ACACAAACUUUUUUUCCUUCUUCUUUAAAUAUAUUCCUGUUUGGUCACACAUUUAUUCUAAUCUAAGUUUCUCUGUAGAGAGUCGUUGUCUGCUGUUUAUUGUGCAUAUGGAUGGUUAAAAAUGAAUUUAAAAUUCUCAGCUCUUGCAAACCAACUGCAAAGACAAAGAAUGACAGCCAAAUGGGGAGGAUAGGUGUCCCAUGAGAACAUCUCACAGAAUUGCUAACCGAUAUGCCCUGCAGUAUCAGAAUCUAUUGAUGUCGUUUCUAAGCUGAGCUCCACUGCCAUUUGCUAUUUAUUUUGGCAAGCAGUGAAACCAUCAAGAAUGUGCUGAUUCAUCACCCCUUUGAUAGGAGAUCAUGGGGCACAGGGGACAGUUUGGUGAGUAGACUUCACACUGUACUGUUUCUUUUUUUCCCCAGAAGGAAUGGUUUAUCAUUAAGAAGCAGGGAAAUGUGACAGAAAAAAAAAUGGCCUUGAUUAUAGACAGUUUUUUUCUCACCCCAGUUCUGUUAAAAAUUCUCCAUGUAUAGGCUGGGAUAGUCAAUUUUAUGUGACAACUUAACUGGAUCAUAGGUUGUCUAGAUACUUGGUCAAGCAUCAUUCUAGGUGUACCUAUGAGGGUGUUUGUGGAUGUCAUAAACAUUGGAAUCAGUAGACUGAGUAGAGCAGAUUGCCCUUCCUCUGGUGGGUGUACACUAUCAUCUACUCAGGUGAAGACCUGAAUAGAACGAAAAGUUAAAGGGAGGAAGAAUUCACUCUCCUCUCUCUGAAGGCCUGAGCUGGAACUUUGGUCUUCUGCUGUCCUCAGACUGGAAAUUAUACCACUGAUGCUUCCGAUUCUCAGGCCCUUAAACUCAGGCUGGAAUCAUGCAACUGGUUUCUUUGGGUCUUCAACAUGCAGAGAUCAAAUUAUAGGAUUUCUCAGCAUCCAUAAUCAGCAUGGAUGGCUAUAACACAUUACCAUAAGCUGGGUCGCUGAUACACAACAAAAAGUUGAUUUCUCACAGUUCUGGAGGCUGGAAAGUCUCAGGUCAAGGCAGCAGCAAGCAGGUUUACUGUCUGGUGAGUGUGUACUUCCUGGUCAUAUAUGGUUUCUUUUCAUAAUGUCUUCAGAUGGUAGAAGGGCAGUUCUCUGGGCCUCUUUUAUGAGGGCACUAAUCUCUCCCAUGAGAGCUCCACCCUCAUGACCUAUCACCUUCAAGAAGCCCCACCGCUAGCCACCAUGAUAUUGGAGAUUAGGUUUCCUCAUAAAUUUUUGGGAGAUAAAAAUAUUCUGUCUCUAGCAGAU